This is a non-coding RNA of Ictidomys tridecemlineatus (thirteen-lined ground squirrel), 3221 nucleotides long. NCBI's taxonomy places the organism in Eukaryota, Metazoa, Chordata, Mammalia, Rodentia, Sciuridae. The record is from RefSeq and is a predicted model, not a curated record.
UUGAGAUUUCAUCUCAUACCAGUCUGAAAAGCAGUCAUAAAGAAUAUAAGCAAUAAUCGAUGCUGGAGACGAUGUGAGAAAGAGGAACACUUUUAUACCAUUGGUUGGGAGUAUUAAUUACUAAAACCACUGUGGAAAUCAAUGUAGAGGAUCCUAGGAAGACCAGGCAUGGACACACCAUAUGGCCCAGUUAGACCACUCCUCAGUAUUUAUCCUAAAGGAAUUAAAGUUAGCUUACUCUAUUACUACAUGCACACCCGUAUUUGUAGCAGCAUAAUUCCCAAUACCCAAUCGAUGGAACCAGCCUCGUGUCCAUCAGUGGAUGGAUGGAUAAAGAAAAUGUGGUAUAUAUACAUAAUGGAGUUUCAGUCAGCCAGAAAGAAAAAUGGAAUCACGUCAUUUUCAGGAAAAUGGAUGGAACUUGAGACCAUUAAGGGAAAUAAGUCAAACUCAGAAGAUCAGGGGUCAUGUGUUUCCUCUCACAGGACGAAGCUAGAGAAUAAAAAGGAAAAGGAAAAAAAAAAAGGUGGAGAUGGAUCUCCUGGAAAUCAAAGGGAGGUCCGUAGAGGAAAAGGACCCAAAGUUGGGAGGCAGGGAGGGAGAGGGGAGCCCUGGUGAGGGAUACUGGCCAAAUUGUAUUGUUAUGUGGUGUGCGUGUACAAUCCCAUCAUCGUGUACAACUCUAAGGCACCAAUCAAGAAAUGUGGAAAGACAAGUAUUUCCAGGGGCUGGGGUCGUGGCUCAGUGACAGAGCGCUUGCCUAGCAUGUGGAAGGUCCUGGGUUCGAGUCUCAGCACCGCAUGGUAAAUCAGUGAUUAAAAUAAAGGUCCGUCAACAGCUGAAACAAAUACUUAAAAAAAGGAUUUCCAUAAAGAAGAAAUCGUGGUGAAAAAGCAUCCGUGACCUGCCCCACGUCCCACAGUGACUAGUGAGGACCCAGGAUGAAGCCAGAUCCUUGAGGUGUACAAGGCCCCUCUGGGCCUUCUACCCAGAGGGGGCUUCCUGUCUCUCUGGUUUCUCUUUCUGCUAGGGGAGAGAGACAUUUUUUGUGACAUUUUUCAAGAGCCUUUUAGGUGUCAGCCACUCUGUGUAGCCCUCUCAGGAAUCCUAUGGAGCAGAUGAUGGGAUCCGUAUUUCCUCAGUGAGAACGUGGAAGCUCACAGCGGUUCUAGUCUAAGCAGAAACCAGACGUUGGCCAUCUGAGCCCCCGCGAGACGGAACAGCCAGCCCCCCCUUGCUGAAGGACCACAGCAGAUGCCUUGGUGGACAUGUACAACUGGGCUUCAGCCCAGGGAAGUUGUAUUUUGCCUGUAAAUUUAGUCACUGGGGCGACACAUCUUCUGAGUUUCAAGAUGACUGAGGACAAGCGACUCUCUGAGAAGGAAUUAACAUCCAUCAAGAGUGAUGCAGUCUGCAGACUUAGAAGUAUCCAAAAAUAAUCACCCCUGGAGAGAUCUCUGUAAAUCAGCAAUGAAAGAGCUAAAGGAAAACUAUAAAUCAUUCCAUUACAGUUUCAUACAUUUACAAGUAAGUGGCCUUGGAAGCAGGAUUGGCGUAUAAGCUGUAUUUAGACUUGGUGUGCGAAGCAAAUUUGAAUCGAAUAUAAAUCUUGGUGUGGUAUUUUUAAGCACCCCCCCCACCCAGGAAGGGGGGCAGGGUGCUCCUGGGGAAGAAGGAGAGUUGGAGGAGUAUCAGAGCUAUUUUGGAAAGUUUCAUCUACAUUUUUAGAAAGAUGCAUUUUUGAAGAAUUGGAAUAUCAAUCACUUCCCACCGGCGGGAUUCUUCAUCAGGGGAGAAAUGGCAGCGUGUCCGAUUUUCCUCGAGUCUCUCCAGAGCGCAUUAUUAAGUGGGUCUUGUCGCUGUGCGCCAUGGGUGAAAAGAAACUCUUUCUUGGCUCCCCUCCCUGUCCCUCGCCUCCUUAUUUACUGCUGGCAACAGACUUGUUAAGUGUGAAGCAAGAAGCCAGACAGAAUGUUAAUGCAGAGAAGACAUGGGAGUUGGGGGUGCCCUGGGCCUUGAAUGUAACUGACGGACAGGAGGCCCAGGCAGUGAUGCCCUGCUCCCUCUAGACACUGCAUGAGGAAGGAAGUGGAGCCUCAUCGGUGAGCACCUCAGACAGGAGCCAAGCCCUAGCCCCUAAGUCAAUAGCUUCCCACCCAAGAAUGACUGAACGAGCCAGGGUCCUGAGCUUAGGUAACCGUGGGCCCAGUGAAUGCUGGCUUUGCAAUGGAAAUUCACAAUUUGGCAGGAAGUCUGCAGAUUUCGAAUGCAUUGGCUAACUCUGCGGCUCUUCCCCCGCCCCCUGCUCAUGACAGGUCUUCCUUUCUGGGAUAUUUCAAAUUCGAGGGAUGAAACAGGGUUGUCAUUAGAACUGGAUCCUGUCCACAGAGGCUCAGCAGUUGUGAUAUUCAGCAGGACAGAUUCAGACCCUAGAGGCCAAACAGCUUCUUCCUCCCCAGGUGGUUUAAAACAGAGACCUGCUCUCUGUCUUGUCCGUGGGUGUGUUUGCAGGGGUGUUGGAUGGCAAGGAAACUCCAGGGGCUAAAUCUAGGGGCAGAGAAAGCAGUGCAUAUGCCUGAGGCCAGGAGCCAGGACAGAUCGGUUAAAGGUCUGGAAUUACGAAGGGUAGGAGAUAAGCAGCAGCUCUGGGUGGUUUCCAACAGGGGCAGUUGCCUGCUUUCAUGUCUGGGUCAGAACUUGCUUGUAAUUGGUAGAUGGAUUGCUUGGAUGGAAAUGGAGCCUGAAAAGAAUCUCUUCCCUUCCAGCAAUUAAACAUUCUCCCUGCGUCCUCCACUCUGGCCCUUCAACAGACCCUUUCUCCUCAUGCACCGUGCAGUGGUGUUUUGCAGCCUGGUUUGAAUUAGCUCCCAGGGUCCACAUCCUUGAAGCUUGGCCUUCCUUUCCGCCCUAGGCUGUGUGGCGAGGUAUGGUGGGACACCCAGUGUGAAUCAAUUGGGAAGAUGCUGAUGUCAGAUACCUACCAGCCAGAGGUGGGGAUUCUUUUAAACGUCACUUCCCUCUGGUGACCUCCUUUCCUGCCCCAUCACUACCACACACACUUGACAACUCACUUGAGUACUUUGAAUGGUUUUUCAAAAAGGGGUUUGUGCAGAUGAUUCUUUGGGGUUCAAGUAGUUAUUUUUUACCCUAAAAAGUGUUUUAUGUUUGACGUAUGGACGGAUAGGGGAUCAUGUCUGUAAUAUAAAUGAACAUGCAUCCAU